This 400-nucleotide long non-coding RNA is filed under the name Androctonus crassicauda. Lineage: Eukaryota; Metazoa; Arthropoda; Arachnida; Scorpiones; Buthidae. The record is from RNAcentral.
UAAACUAGUUGUUAGACUUGUCUCACUUCAUCAAGAGGGGGUAAUUAAUUGUAAUUGUAGGUACUAGCAUGCUUUCAAAAUUCAAACUAUGAUAAUUGAUAACACUAGAAUUGAUGCCACUAGACCUUCUCUUAAGGGAAAAAUGUCAGUUGCACUUUACACUUAAUUCGGGUAGGUUAAAAAUUGAUGGAAAAGACUUUCAGGUGGAGGUUCCGGCUGAUUUCCAAUCACUCCCUCAUCCAUCUUAUCACAAUAUCAAUUACAUAAUAUCUUGCAUGGAAAGUGACAAGUGUUGCAUUUAUACAGACUGUUCCAAAUCAAAUGAUGGGGUAGGGUCGGCCUUUUGCGUUAUCUGAGGUAGGUAGGUGUUAGUGUUCGGAUUUUAAAGUUAAUCCCAACU